GUCCAAUAUUCUCUUCUGGAGUAAUCACCUGCAGCUACCCUUCUUAGAUAGAAUGACCCAGAAGAUCAUGGGGCAUCUAAGCUUCUAGGAGGAUGUGAAGUUGUCCAUCUUCAGCAGUCUGGUUGAAGCUGGAGGAUAGAAUGACCCAGAAUAUCGUGGGGUGUCUAAGCUUCAAGGAGGAUGUGAAGUUGCACGUCUUGCAACUUGUGACUUGCACCUGGUGGGCAGCUGUUGCUAGCCAAUGGCUCGACGAGCAUACCGGUUCCCACUUAUUUAAUUACUACAGGGCUCCCGAUGGAGUACCUGCUUAGCAGGUCCCAUUCUUGAUCCUCAGCACUGCGAAGAAAACACAGAAGAGAAAUAAAGGCUGCUGCGUAGUUUUGGAUCAGACAGAAAACAAAGGAAGGAACACCAGGAUGCAAUGAUGAUUUAAUUUGCAACAGAAUCGCCCGUUUUCCCUUUGAUUCCCACUUGGAUGUAACACUGGUACUGCAAAGCAUCCCUGAGGCCUUUCUCGCUGUGCCAAGAUGCACAUCUUCUGACAGAGCCAUGGCCUGAGGCUGCAAAGAUGGUGCUGGGGCCACGUGAAAACUGUCAGCCUGAGGGAGGAGCAGAUAGCUCCAGGCCCAAGACUGGGCUUGUUUGCUUUCCUCGUGGAUAGCGGGAUGCUAAGUAUGUAGUUAACGGUCCCUUCACCUCCACUCCCAGCAGUGGUCUGGAGAAGGAGCAAGACUCAAAUUAUGCUACUCUGGACCAGACUUUCUCCAAGGCAGGGCCUGUGCCUUGGUGUUCCUGGGGGUCUUGCUCGAUGCCUGACUGUGACUGCAUGUCAAGGAGUCAAUGUUUAAAAGACAGCAAGAUGUGAGCUGCUUAUGUACAUAGGAGGAAGAAGGGCUCCUGACUUUCUGUCUCCGACUGUUUUUGUGAAAAUAUUAUGAGAAGAGUGUUUCAGCUCCCAGGUUUGGAACCCACAGGCCAAACUUUCUUUAUUUUCUCUUUCUUUCUUUCCUUCUUUCUUUCCUUCCUUCUUUCUUUCUUUCUUUCUUUCUUUCUUCCUUCCUUCCUUCCUUCCUUCCUUCCUUCCUUCCUUCCUUUCUUUCUUUUUUUAAUUACAUUUGAAAGAUGAUUUUAUUAAAGUCAUUGCACUUGGUCAUUUUAUUGCUACAGCACAAGGCCUUUCAAUUGUAACACUUCUCAAUUCUGAUUGUAAAUAUUGUCUCAUUCUGCUCAUACAUUUAAAGUUUAAAUGCAAGCAUAAAACAUUCAUAAAAAAAUCUACAGAGCACUUCGGAACGCAUUUCUUGCCUGUGAUCACAGUUAGGAGUGUAAGGAGUCCUCUGUUAAGACCGGGCCCACUCUCUUUGCAUCUUCUGAUUUUCUGUGAAGUCCUGUACAGUUGUAUAGAGCUAAUACCUUUAUAGUAAGAAGCAAGCUUAGUGGUCACAAACACACCAAAAUAACAUUGGAAUCCUGCUAGAAUCUUAGGAGUACUGUGUUUCAAAGACCAGCAAAUCUGAACUAUACAUUCACUAAUAAUUUGGCAAUGACAGAUUCAAUGCUGUCUUUUAUACUAAUAUUGGGGAGAGAGGGAUUUACCUCUAAGUAAAGUUGUUAUUAAUCAUUUUCUGACUUUAACUUUAGAAAUAGUAAAAGUUCCCAUAUCAAGGGCAAAUACUGGCAAACUACUCUUUUAAAGGAAUUAUUUUUCCCUUUAAGUUCAAGCUUGUUUGUUUUUUUCUGAACUAUUUUGUAAAGGGCAUAAAAUAGACAUAUAGAAAACAGACAGUAUGACUUCUCUACUCUGACUGAGAUGGCAAAAGUGUGUAGAGAUGACUCAUGGCUACUCUGAUUGUGUGGACUAAAAAUACCCACCGCCACCAAAGGAACGCUGCUUCCUUUCCUGUGGAUAUAGGGCCCCUAUGCAGCACAGGCUGGCCUCAAACUCAUGGUUUCUCUCCCCAAAUCUCCAAGUUUCAGGCAUGUCAUCACUACACGUGGCUCAAACGAACCUUUAAAUAGCAUACGAGCAUUAAACUACAUGUGCUCCUGGAGCUGAGAUCACCGGUCAGGUUAGUGACACAGUGGGUCAGGAAGGAGCCAAACUGCAAAGGAAAACUUAGUAUACAAUAAGGGGUUGUGCUUCUGUUUUUCUUACUUGUGUUUAUAACACAUAAAUUCAUUUUUCUGUUAGUUAUCUGCUUUUCUAAUUUCUUACAUUUUAACUAGUAUCUAUGGGUUACACAUUUGUCCAGAAAGCAUAGUCACUCCCCUACUGUUGACUGUGUAUGUUACUUUUUACUGUUAUUACACCUUUCCCUCCCAGCAGUGUGGGUGGAGACAAACCUCCCUUUGGGAAUGCAGGAGAUCAUUUCUAGAAUGUGGGGAAAGCAGGAGAUGAUACUUAGGGUAAGGCCACUGUCAUCUGAGGACUGUCAUUACAUUAAUAAGAAGCAAAUACUUCAUUUGACUAAUUACUUAAAAAUAAAAUGGAGAAGUUUGGUCAUCACUAACCUCUCAUUAGAUGAGCUCAGACUUGAAAUGGUUAAAAAGGCUAGGCACACUGGGCAUGCCUGUCAUCCUAGCACUUGGAAGGCAGAGGCAGGGAAACCGGAAGUUUAAGACAAUUUUUGCUAUAUCACAAGGUUAAGUCCAGCCUGGGAUAUAAGUUCCUGUGUCAAAACACCUACAAUGUACACUCUAUGUACAAUUAGCUCUCCCCAGAAUCUAAUCAAGUGUAACCUUGUGCUGGCAUUCUAUUAUUUUCUACUUCAGCUCUAUUUUACUUGAAGUAACACAAGAAAUCUGACUUUAAAUUUUUUUCUAUUUUAAGAUUAAAAUGUAAAGAAAAUGUAUUUGUUUUUUUUUUAAGCAUGAUAAUUUACAAUCGGACAUUCAUUUUCUAAAGUAAAGCUUAAAGCCUAACUUUUUUUUUAACAAAUAAAAACAUUUCACUUUUUAAAAUUAACCUUUGUGUUUUUAAACAUGUCGCCCUACAGAUACAACAUUUUUAUGUUCACUUGGUCUGUAGCCAUACCGCCCUGAUAGUGGCUGGGCCAGUCUAAGAUGUUCAACUGUUGAUUGUGAUGCUAAAUAAAUGGCUCAACAUCCAUUGUG
Molecule: long non-coding RNA, 3114 nt
Filed under: Mus musculus (house mouse)
Lineage: Eukaryota; Metazoa; Chordata; Mammalia; Rodentia; Muridae
Description: predicted gene, 49797
Source: RNAcentral